UUAAUGGCACAAUUUCCUGAAAACUGAUUUGAAAAAGAGCAGUUGGAUAAAGAGAAAAUCCAUAAGCAUAUUGAAAGUACCACUAAAUAACAAAAUACAUAAGAUAAUAUCACAUCAUAACAACAGCAUUCUAUCAAGUAAAAGGGCUCUGAAGCUUUAUUUCUCUGGUCCCAGAUUAACACAAUGUCAGGCACUAACACUCCUUUUCCCUCUACUUAUUUAUUAUUUUUUUUAUUCCUGAUAAGUAAGCUUCAUUGCUAAAGAAACUAAAAGAAGGGGACCCAAUCCGCUACAGAAUCUGUCACAAGACUACUAGGAGAAAAGAAAAAGAAGCAGAGUUGCAGAAUAAGGCAGAGCUAAGCUAAUAACCUUAGAGACACCAACUAAACUGAAGACCAAGUGUAAA
RNAcentral lists this unclassified non-coding RNA (406 nucleotides) under Hevea brasiliensis (rubber tree). The record is from RNAcentral. Lineage: Eukaryota; Viridiplantae; Streptophyta; Magnoliopsida; Malpighiales; Euphorbiaceae.